RNAcentral lists this unclassified non-coding RNA (1171 nucleotides) under Hevea brasiliensis (rubber tree). The record is from RNAcentral. Lineage: Eukaryota; Viridiplantae; Streptophyta; Magnoliopsida; Malpighiales; Euphorbiaceae.
UUGAAGAACUGCCUCUGACUAUCUGCCAUUUAAAUAAAAAGGCAAUGGGCAAGGAUGUCAAGACGGUUGGUUACUUGAUGAAGCCUUCUCGUGAAGAAGAUUUUGCCAAGAGAGGGGCAUUCCCCCUAAAACCUACACCAAACGGAUUAAUUUUUGUGCCCCUAACUUACGAGCUCCCUAUAUCACAGCAGUUACAAGAAAUUGACGGUGUUCUACAUAAAGCAACUGAUGACAUCAUUACUGUUGAAAUGAGCAGCUCUUCAGAUUCUGAAAACAAAGUUACUUUUACAGCGGGCAUGCAAGAGUUACAAAGGUACAUCGGAUGCCAUCUAGACUGUCGUUUGAUUGACCCAUUCACCAACAUAUAUCCUGUUCUUGAUCGGUUGAAAAUACAGCAGAUUCUAGGUGGUUUGGAAAAUCUUAACAGUAAAAGCUGCAGUAAAAUCAGAGGUCCCCAUUUUCUAAAGGUUGUUGAUUUUCGUGAGCCCAAGUUGGAAGACAAGCUAGCCGAUGCAAAACUGUCACUUCCGAACAUUGUAAAACCCCAAGUUGCUUGUGGAGUUGCUGAUGCUCACAGCAUGGCCAUUGUCUUCAAGGAAGACAGCUACAAAGACCUCAAUGUCCCUCUUCCAGCUAUUGUGCAGGAAUAUGUGGAUCAUUCAUCCACCAUGUUCAAGUUUUACGUUGUUGGGAAGAAGAUGUUCUUCGCAAUUAAGAAGUCUACACCUAAUGCAGAUACCUUGAUAAAGUUAGCUGAAGAAAAACAGUUGAAGCCGUUACUUUUUGAUAGUUUAAAAUCUCUACCCGUUGACACGCUAAAAAGCCAAAAUGAAGAUAAUACACAAAUUGAUCAUGAGCUAGUCACUGAUGCUGCAAAUUGGUUGAGAAGGGUACUUGACCUUACUAUUUUUGGCUUUGAUGUUGUGAUCCAGGAAAGCACCGGUGACCAUGUCAUUGUUGAUGUAAAUUACCUCCCAUCGUUUAAGGAAGUUCCUGAUGAGGUUGCAAUACCGAAAUUUUGGGAAGCCAUAAAGGAGAAGCUCACUGGAAAACAAAGCACAGAAGCAGCAAUAUUGUUGUAAUAUUCAUCUUAGUAGCAGGACUGACUAAUAAAAAGGUUAUAUACAACAAACACUGACUACCCUAUUCUCUUUUGCUAUUUGUGUUAUUA